This 481-nucleotide ribosomal RNA is filed under the name uncultured bacterium. RNAcentral's name for it is "partial 16S ribosomal RNA". It matches the Rfam family "Bacterial small subunit ribosomal RNA", at positions 28 to 507 of the family's 1533-position model. The record is from RNAcentral.
GAUGAACGCUGGCGGCGUGCUUAACACAUGCAAGUCGAACGAAGCACUUUAUUUGAUUUCCUUCGGGACUGAUUAUUUUGUGACUGAGUGGCGGACGGGUGAGUAACGCGUGGGUAACCUGCCUUGUACGGGGGGAUAACCGUUGGAAACGGCUGCUAAUACCGCAUAAGGGCACAGCAUCGCAUGAUGCAGUGUGAAAACCUCCGGUGGUAUAAGAUGGACCCGCGUUGGUUUACCGGGUUGGGGAGGGAACGGCCCACCAAGGCGACGAUCCAUAGCCGACCUGAGAGGGAGGCCGGCCACAGUGGGACUGAGACACGGCCCAAACUCCUACGGGAUGCAGCAGUGGGGAAUAUUGCACAAUGGGCGAAAGCCUGAUGCAGCGACGCCGCGUGAGCGAAGAAGUAUUUCGGUAUGUAAAGCUCUAUCAGCAGGGAAGAUAAUGACGGUACCUGACUAAGAAGAACCGGCUAAAUACGUG